RNAcentral lists this ribosomal RNA (1970 nucleotides) under Anaerostipes caccae L1-92. RNAcentral's name for it is "bacterial LSU rRNA". It matches the Rfam family "Bacterial large subunit ribosomal RNA", at positions 925 to 2925 of the family's 2925-position model. Lineage: Bacteria; Bacillati; Bacillota; Clostridia; Lachnospirales; Lachnospiraceae. The record is from RNAcentral.
GGCUUCAAGCUUACCAAAAACAUAUCAAACUCGAUGCAGCAGAUGAUGAUGGAGUCAGACUGUACGAGAUAAGUGACAGUCGAAAGGGAAACAGCCCAGACACAGCUAAGGUCCCAAAGUACGUGUUAAGUGGAAAAGGAUGUGGGAUUUCAAAGACAACUAGGACGUUGGCUUAGAAGCAGCCAUACAUUGAAAGAGUGCGUAAUAGCUCACUAGUCGAGAGAUCCUGCGCCGAAAAUGUCCGGGGCUAAAACACGACACCGAAGCUGUGGAAUGUAGUAAUACAUUGGUAGAGGAGCAUUGUAAGCGGGAUGAAGCCAUACCGUAAGGAGUGGUGGACUGCUUAGAAGAGAGAAUGCCGGAAUGAGUAGCGAGAGGAAGGUGAGAAUCCUUCCGGCCGAAUAUCUAAGGUUUCCAGAGUAAAGCUGAUCUGCUCUGGGUAAGUCGGGACCUAAGGCGAGGGCGAGAGCCGUAGUCGAUGGAUAACUGGUUGAAAUUCCAGUACCACAUAAAAACAGAACUGUGGGGACACAGAAGGGAAAUGGGAGCCAGGAAUGGAAAAACUGGCGCAAGCGAAGGAGCCGUAUGGGAGGCAAAACCCCCAUGCAAGGCAAAGGCGUUACGCGGACCGAACAAAAGUAGGGAAGCCCAGGCCCCCAGCUGUCAAGAAAAGCCGCUAUUGUUUUUUAUGUGCCCGUACCGUAAACCGACACAGGUGGAUGAGGAGAGAAUCCUAAGGCCGACGGGAGAAGUGUUGUUAAGGAACUCGGCAAAAUGACUCCGUAACUUCGGGAGAAGGAGUGCCAUAGCGAUAUGGCCGCAGAGAAUUGGCCCAAGCAACUGUUUAGCAAAAACACAGGUCUAUGCAAAACCGCAAGGUGAAGUAUAUGGGCUGACGCCUGCCCGGUGCUGGAAGGUUAAGGGGAGGGCUUAGCGAUUCGUCGCGAAGGUCUGAACUUAAGCCCCAGUAAACGGCGGCCGUAACUAUAACGGUCCUAAGGUAGCGAAAUUCCUUGUCGGGUAAGUUCCGACCCGCACGAAAGGCGUAAUGAUUUGGGCACUGUCUCAACAACACACCCGGUGAAAUUGAAAUACCAGUGAAGAUGCUGGUUACCUGCGCCAGGACGGAAAGACCCCAUGGAGCUUUACUCCAGCUUGAUACUGGGAUUCGGUACUGCAUGUACAGGAUAGGUGGGAGACUGAGAAGAAAGGACGCCAGUCCUUUUAGAGUCACUGUUGGGAUACCACCCUUGCAGUAUUGGAUUUCUAACCAACAGCCGUGAUCCGGCUGGGGGACAAUGUCAGGUGGGGAGUUUGACUGGGGCGGUCGCCUCCGAAAGGGUAUCGGAGGCGCUCAAAGGUCUUCUCAGAAUGGACGGAAACCAUUCGCAGAGUGCAAAGGCAGAAGAAGGCUUGACUGUGACACCGACGGGUGGAGCAGGUACGAAAGUAGGACUUAGUGAUCCGGUGGUAUAACGUGGGAUUGCCAUCGCUCAACGGAUAAAAGCUACCCUGGGGAUAACAGGCUUAUCACUCCCAAGAGUUCACAUCGACGGAGUGGUUUGGCACCUCGAUGUCGGCUCAUCGCAUCCUGGAGCUGUAGCAGGUUCCAAGGGUUGGGCUGUUCGCCCAUUAAAGCGGUACGCGAGCUGGGUUCAGAACGUCGUGAGACAGUUCGGUCCCUAUCCGGCGCAGGCGGAGGAAAUUUGAUAGGAGCUGUCCUUAGUACGAGAGGACCGGGAUGGACGGACCACUGGUGGAUCUGUUGUAUUACCAAAUGCAUAGCAGAGUAGCCAAGUCUGGAAGGGAUAAACGCUGAAGGCAUCUAAGCGUGAAGCCCCCCUAAAGAUAAGAUUUCCCAUAGAGUAAUCUAGUAAGACCCCUUGAAGACGACGAGGUAGAUAGGGCAGAGGUGGAAGUACGGCAACGUAUGGAGCUGACUGUUACUAAUCGGUCGAGGCUUUAACCAA